AACCCCUGCAUUCAGUUGCCAUCGGGUAAUGCCGGGCACUCUGGAAGGACUGCCAUCGACAAGAUGGAGGAAGGUGGGGAUGACGUCAAGUCAUCAUGGCCCUUAUGUCCAGGGCGACACACGUGCUACAAUGGCCGGCACAACGGGAAGCGAGUUCGCGAGGACGAGCGGAUCCCUCAAAGCCGGUCGCAGUUCGGAUUGAAGUCUGCAACUCGACUUCAUGAAGCUGGAAUCGCUAAGUAAUCGUGGAUCGAGCCAAGCCGCGGUGAAUACGUUCCCGGGCCUU
This 286-nucleotide ribosomal RNA is filed under the name uncultured Synergistaceae bacterium. Its description in RNAcentral is "partial 16S ribosomal RNA". It matches the Rfam family "Bacterial small subunit ribosomal RNA", at positions 1100 to 1382 of the family's 1533-position model. Lineage: Bacteria; Thermotogati; Synergistota; Synergistia; Synergistales; Synergistaceae. The record is from RNAcentral.